UGCCAAUUUUCUCCGCGGUGAUA
RNAcentral lists this microRNA (23 nucleotides) under Caenorhabditis briggsae. RNAcentral's name for it is "Cbr-Mir-36-o5_5p* (star (passenger))". The record is from RNAcentral. Lineage: Eukaryota; Metazoa; Nematoda; Chromadorea; Rhabditida; Rhabditidae.